GGGGAUGUAGCUCAGCGGUAGAGUACCUGCCUUGCAUGCACAAGGCGUAGGUUCCAUCACCA
Molecule: transfer RNA, 62 nt
Filed under: Ictidomys tridecemlineatus (thirteen-lined ground squirrel)
Lineage: Eukaryota; Metazoa; Chordata; Mammalia; Rodentia; Sciuridae
Description: Spermophilus tridecemlineatus (thirteen-lined ground squirrel) tRNA
Rfam family: tRNA
About the family: Transfer RNA (tRNA) molecules are approximately 80 nucleotides in length. Their secondary structure includes four short double-helical elements and three loops (D, anti-codon, and T loops).
Source: Rfam by way of RNAcentral